Nicotiana attenuata is the source of this 195-nucleotide ribosomal RNA. It matches the Rfam family "Bacterial small subunit ribosomal RNA", at positions 911 to 1387 of the family's 1533-position model. NCBI's taxonomy places the organism in Eukaryota, Viridiplantae, Streptophyta, Magnoliopsida, Solanales, Solanaceae. The record is from Rfam.
UGAUUUGGGUUUGGAAACUUUUUCCAAUGAUAUGGUGCUGGAAGUCCAUAUACAAAGGGUCGCGAUAGGGUGAGCUAACCCCAAAAACUCGUGCUCAGUUUAGAAUGCAGGCUGCAACUCCCUUGCAUGAAACCGGAAUCGCUAGUAAUUGCCGGUCAGCCAUACAACGGUGAAUUCGUUCCCGGGCCUUGUACA